RNAcentral lists this ribosomal RNA (292 nucleotides) under uncultured bacterium. Its description in RNAcentral is "partial 16S ribosomal RNA". It matches the Rfam family "Bacterial small subunit ribosomal RNA", at positions 505 to 796 of the family's 1533-position model. The record is from RNAcentral.
GUGUCAGCAGCCGCGGUAAUACGUAGGGGGCAAGCGUUGUCCGGAUUUAUUGGGCGUAAAGAGCGUGUAGGCGGCCUGUCAAGUCCGAUGUGAAAUGUCACGGCUUAACCGUGAACCUGCAUUGGAAACUGCCAGGCUAGAGUCUGGAUGAGGAGAAUAGAAUUCCUGGUGUAGCGGUGAAAUGCGCAGAUAUCAGGAGGAAUACCGGUGGCGAAGGCGGUUCUCUGGGACAGUACUGACGCUGAGACGCGAAAGCGUGGGGAGCAAACAGGAUUAGAUACCCCCGUAGUCC